This is a long non-coding RNA of Siniperca chuatsi (mandarin fish), 753 nucleotides long. RefSeq lists it as uncharacterized. NCBI's taxonomy places the organism in Eukaryota, Metazoa, Chordata, Actinopteri, Centrarchiformes, Sinipercidae. The transcript is spliced from 2 exons. The record is from RefSeq and is a predicted model, not a curated record.
UCUGUGUGAUCUUGUGGAGAGUCCACACUGCAGACUGGAGACUCUGAGAUGGAAGUGGUCAGAAAGGUGGUGGUGUUGAGAGGACCAGCUGUGUCCUGAUGAUCCAGAGGUUGAAGCAGCAGCUGGUGUGUGGAGAGGCUCUGACUGGGCCAUGUUACUGGGAGGUGGAGUGGAGAGGAGAGCUGACGGAGGAAUCACAACAAGUGCAGAUGAGUCUCAGUGCUGCAGUCUGAACUGCUCUGAGAUCAGCUCCACUGUCAGACACAAAGGCAAGUCCACCAUCGUCCCUGUGUGUUCCUCUGGAUGUGGCAGAGUAUCGUCAGUGUAUCUGGACUCUCUGCUGCUGCUCUGUCCUUCUACACCGUCUCUGCAGACACACUGAGACUCCUCCACUCCUUCUGCUCCACCUCCUCCACCUGGACCUGGACCUGGACCUGAGUCUGGAUUUGUUUUUUUCUUUCUGUUUGAUUCAUUCAGAUAUUCUGAACCCAAAGUGCCUCUGCAGCUUCCUUCUGUUUAAAACAGCAUAACUUUACAUUUACAGUCAUUUAAAUUGCAAACGGGCUGUUUAAAUGACUGUGAACUAGGGUAAAGUCUGUGGUUAUUACUGUAUUUGUGUCGCACUGCAAUGAUGGAGACCUGCUGUUGAUUUUCACAUUAUGAUGUUUCUUGGAGCUUGAUGAAUGCAGAAGUCUGCAACGAAGUUUAAGUAUCUUUCUCAUCAGUGUGAGAUUAUAUUUCUGUAUACUUGUC